GACGAACGCUGGCGGCGUGCUUAACACAUGCAAGUCGAACGGAAAGGCCCUGCUUUUGUGGGGUGCUCGAGUGGCGAACGGGUGAGUAACACGUGAGUAACCUGCCCUGUACUUUGGGAUAACUUCAGGAAACUGGGGCUAAUACCGGAUAGGAGCUCCUGCUGCAUGGUGGGGGUUGGAAAGUUUCGGCGGUUGGGGAGGGACUCGCGGCUUAUCAGCUUGUUGGUGGGGUAGUGGCUUACCAAGGCUUUGACGGGUAGCCGGCCUGAGAGGGUGACCGGGCACAUUGGGACUGAGAUACGGCCCAGACUCCUACGGGAGGCAGCAGUGGGGAAUAUUGCACAAUGGGCGGAAGCCUGAUGCAGCAACGCCGCGUGCGGGAUGACGGCCUUCGGGUUGUAAACCGCUUUCGCCUGUGACGAAGCGUGAGUGACGGUAAUGGGUAAAGAAGCACCGGCUAACUACGUG
RNAcentral lists this ribosomal RNA (468 nucleotides) under uncultured bacterium. RNAcentral describes it as "partial 16S ribosomal RNA". It matches the Rfam family "Bacterial small subunit ribosomal RNA", at positions 28 to 507 of the family's 1533-position model. The record is from RNAcentral.